AACUUUUAGCAAUGGAUCACUUGGCUCUCGCAUCGAUGAAGAACGCAGCGAAAUGCGAUAAGUAAUGUGAAUUCAGUGAAUCAUCGAAUCUUUGAACGCACCUUGCGCUCCUUGGUAUUCCGAGGAGCAUGCCUGUUUGAGUGUCAUUAAAUUCUCAACCUUCCAACUUUUAUUAGCUUGGUUAGGCUUGGAUGUGGGGGUUGCGGGCUUCAUUAACGAGGUCGGCUCUCCUUAAAUGUUUAAGCGGGACUUUGGUGGAACGACUAUCGGUGUGAUAAUUAUCUAGGCCGUGGAUGUGAGGCAGCUUUAUGAAGAUCAGCUUCUAUCCAUCCCUUAACUUGGACAAUUCUUGUCAAUUUGACCUCAAAUCAGGUAGGACUAACCGCUGAACUUAAGCAUAUCAAUAAGAGGAGGCU
RNAcentral lists this unclassified non-coding RNA (416 nucleotides) under uncultured Cortinarius. RNAcentral's name for it is "sequence contains ITS2". The stretch from base 1 to 146 matches the Rfam family "5.8S ribosomal RNA". Lineage: Eukaryota; Fungi; Basidiomycota; Agaricomycetes; Agaricales; Cortinariaceae. The record is from RNAcentral.